UACGUAGGGGGCAAGCGUUGUCCGGAAUCAUUGGGCGUAAAGCGCGUGUAGGCGGUUCGGUAAGUCUGCUGUGAAAGUCCAGGGCUCAACCCUGGGAUGCCGGUGGAUACUGUCGGACUAGAGUACGGAAGAGGCGAGCGGAAUUCCCGGUGUAGCGGUGAAAUGCGCAGAUAUCGGGAGGAACACCAAUUGCGAAGGCAGCUCGCUGG
Molecule: ribosomal RNA, 209 nt
Filed under: uncultured bacterium
Lineage: Bacteria
Description: partial 16S ribosomal RNA
Rfam family: Bacterial small subunit ribosomal RNA
Source: RNAcentral